GUGGUACCUGUUGUAGACUGAGGAUGAGGUGUGUGUGUGUGUGUGUGUGGUACCUGUUGUAGACUGAGGAUGAGGUGUGUGUGUGUGUGUGUGUGGUACCUGUUGUAGACUGAGGAUGAGGUGUGUGUGUGUGUGUGUGGUACCUGUUGUAGACUGAGGAUGAGGUGUGUGUGUGUGUGUGGUACCUGUUGUAGACUGAGGAUGAGGUGUGUGUGUGUGUGGUACCUGUUGUAGACUGAGGAUGAGGGGUGUGUGUGUGGUACCUGUUGUAGACUGAGGAUGAGGGGUGUGUGUGUGGUACCUGUUGUAGACUGAGGAUGAGGUGUGUGUGUGUGGUACCUGUUGUAGACUGAGGAUGAGGGGUGUGUGUGUGGUACCUGUUGUAGACUGAGGAUGAGGGGUGUGUGUGUG
This is a long non-coding RNA of Oncorhynchus keta (chum salmon), 411 nucleotides long. RefSeq lists it as uncharacterized. The transcript is spliced from 4 exons. The record is from RefSeq and is a predicted model, not a curated record. NCBI's taxonomy places the organism in Eukaryota, Metazoa, Chordata, Actinopteri, Salmoniformes, Salmonidae.